RNAcentral lists this ribosomal RNA (397 nucleotides) under uncultured bacterium. RNAcentral's name for it is "bacterial SSU rRNA". It matches the Rfam family "Bacterial small subunit ribosomal RNA", at positions 28 to 430 of the family's 1533-position model. The record is from RNAcentral.
GACGAACGCUGGCGGCGUGCUUAACACAUGCAAGUCGAGCGGUAAGGCCCUUUCGGGGGUACACGAGCGGCGAACGGGUGAGUAACACGUGGGUGACCUGCCCUCAGCUCUGGGAUAAGCCCGGGAAACUGGGUCUAAUACCGGAUAUGACUCCAUGACGCAUGUUGUGGGGUGGAAAGCCUUGUGCGGCUGAGGAUGGGCCCGCGGCCUAUCAGCUUGUUGGUGGGGUGAUGGCCACCAAGGCGACGACGGGUAGCCGGCCUGAGAGGGCGACCGGCCACACUGGGACUGAGACACGGCCCAGACUCCUACGGGAGGCAGCAGUGGGGAAUCUUGCGCAAUGGGCGAAAGCCUGACGCAGCGACGCCGCGUGAGGGAUGACGGCCUCGGUGUAACU